Dermacentor andersoni is the source of this 4302-nucleotide non-coding RNA. Lineage: Eukaryota; Metazoa; Arthropoda; Arachnida; Ixodida; Ixodidae. The record is from RefSeq and is a predicted model, not a curated record.
AGCAAGUAAUUCGGUUAUCAUCCUAGUUACAAGGCAGUGAGCACAUGCAUAUACGAUCUUAUGUGAAUACUCGUAGCUUUCCAGACGAAAAAAAAAAAAAAAGGGUGAAGAACAAAUAUGCCAUCACAGCGCUAAAUUUUUGUCUUCGAGGCUGUCUGAAAAAGCAUUCCGAGUAUUGGACCCCUUUCCCUACAGUAAAAGCUGAUACCAACGUUUUCAAUAAUUAUACCCCCAUCAGAGCUUGUUGUGUUGUUACUUGGUGAGUUCUGAUCAAGCAAGUGUUCACCGCGGAAGAUUUCUUGGGUUACAAAGGAAAACGGGUAAUCUUUAAACCGACCAGCCACAUGAAUGUCAUAUUAAAACAUGGCGCGCUUCACCGUUUAAGUGCGUUGUUGGCAGCUGCCACGGUAGCACGCCGCAGCUGUUGAGCUCAAACGAUCGCGCCUUCUCCUCUUCCGUUUUGUUAGCGCGUGUUUAAGUCUUCAGGGUUGAGAAUAGUGUUCUGGCCAAGAGGAGUAAUACUCCAAAGGUUGUUCUUAGUUUCGUAAACAAAGUUACAUCGUUUGUUAAUUCGUUACAACGUAUAGAUAGACUGCCUGCCACGCAGGAUCGUUAUGCACGAAAUCUGGACCGGGGUAUUUAUUAUUUACGAUUCUAUUCUAUACUCGCGGGCAACUUUUGUGGCUAUGAAGGGAAAGCUACGGGUGCAUGGCUGCUGCACAUGUGUUAUGGCGCCAAGUAGUCCGACAGCGUCGCUUUUGAUUGCUCGGAGCAGACGCUGAAUCGAGGCAGCUUCCACGUGCGACGGUUUCGCGUUUCCCCAGACGCGGGAGGGAAAAGCACCAAAAUAGGCAAACCUUUACGCUCAGCGGUGUGCUCCGUCUUAUUUAACUGUUGAUAGUAAGACGUUUACGUUUUCUCUUCCCCGGCCUAAACUGACGUGGAUUAAAACGCGGGUACUGUUUUCAGAGGCGCUCUCACUUGUGCGCGCUUUGCCUCCAUAGCUUUCCCUUCAUAGCCACAGGAAGUUGUCCGAAGCCUGACGUCGCCUGCCUCCGUCUUGUCCGACCGUGAUUAGUUCGCUGCGCGUAUAAUGAUCACAUUGACCAUGAGGACGCCGCUGCAGCUCUGGCAUAGGUAGGGCGUCGCGCGACACAAUGGACUUCCGGGGUGUAAGCAGCGUACGCCUUCAAAACCACCUCCACCACCAGCAACAACAGCAACGACGAGAAAUAAAUGAAUAAAUAAAUAAAUAAAUAGACGUAGGAGAUACGCAGGACGCAUCCAAAUGAAUUACUUCUUGCUUACAUGUUUCUUCGCUGUCUAUCUGGCUGGCUGUUUGUGUAGGCUGAAGGACUCGCACGUGAUUGUGACCUUGGAUGCAUCACUUUUAGAUGGAGGCUGCUUGUUUGCCUGGUGCCUAUAUGGGCACCGUAUAUACGGGAAGCGUCUUUUUUGGCUGUAACAUAAAAGCGCGCAGCGCGCCGGCGUUAUUUAUAAACGACACAGACUUGCCGUUUUCUUUGGACUCCGCCCUUCAGUUUUCUCACGUGCUUGCCUCGUCUAAGCUGGGCAGACUUGUUCACUUCGCAAUUACCUUUUUUUUUAAAUUAUUUUCUUUCUCAACCCCAUAAUUCACGCGUCUUGACUCUUCGUCACUUUGAUUUUGUUGCAUUUUUAGGAACUCGUGUGUUGCUCUUUACUUUGUGGCCUGACUCAGAGACCUGUUUUUAGAGCCCGGCUUAUUUUUACUCGCGCGCGUCGUCCAGGUCGGUACAUUUUGCUGCUUACGUUUCCUCGCCAUGCCUAAGCGGUAAUAUCAUCACCGAACGCUUCUGAAGGGCAAUAAACUCUCAGGACUCACUGCGCCGUGGACAGUGUUUCUUGUACGUGUUACGUGUGGAGCGCACGUCGGCGCAAAUCACUUGUCUCUAAUUUUGCACAACUGCAAACAGUAUACAAGAAACGAAGGCCAUUCAGACAAUUAAGAAACUGCGCUAGAUUAAUUUUAUUUCUGUGCAUUAUCAUCGAGCGUGCUAAAAACUGACGGUACAGAAAAAAAAAAAAGCACCGAAAGUCAGUUUGGAGCGAUUCACUGUAAGGAUUCACGAGACGUAUGUGUUGCAUGCAGAGAGCGAGAGAUUUCAAGCAUAUUAAAGUCAUACUGAGACGCUGGCAUCUCUUGAAGGUGACACAAGCUGCUCCAUUUACUUUUGCGAAGUAGAAGGCAGUAGCAGUAGCAAAUCGCACGAAAGAGAUGCCCCCUGAAUAACUGCGAUUGUUCGCAUUCAUAGUCGUGCCAUGGCGACUUUUGGUGUCAUAAUUAUUCAGUGCCUGCAGUUUUAUUUUUGACUUAGUAUUGUUCCACAGGAAAGGUUUAGCAACACCGAUUAAUCACGAAGAAAGAGGAAGUAAGAUAAGCAGCAUAACAUAUAGAAACGUUUGCACGUUUGUGUCGCUGCUCGUUGACCUGAUAGAUUUGAUCCCUUCGUGUAAACCGUGGCUCGGGCUAGGCUCCUACGCUCGUCGAACGUCCGCGUUGCCGUGGCACGAUCUCCAUCGGGCCUUUUGUUUUCACGGUCACGGCUGUUUCGGUCGACCUGUGCGACUCGGGACUCCUGCCAAGCAUCGUCACGUAGUCUGCGCAAUGGACUACUAAUCUUGGCGUGCGCCAAUUUGACGGGCCUCCCAUGCGCCGGCGCGCUUGCAGUGAAGGAAGGCGUCAAGAUAAUCAGAGCCCACACCUUCCCCCGCCACUAUCUUAGAGGUCCUUAGAUAUUCAACAUUUUUGCCCUCUUUAUUUUUGAAUAACCAGUUGACAAGCAGCAUGCUUUUAAACAAACGAAAGACUGAGGUGUAUGCUUUGUUCCCGACAAAGAAUAUGCCAUACCACUGGUCUGGCAGACGAAGAGAAACGCGUGCGCGCACACACACAAACACAGAGAAAGAACGCUCGCUCUAUCAUCACAGUUUCAAACAAGACAAUAAUAAGCAUAAUAAGACGAAGAAAACACGCCAAGUCAAUACAUCGUUCUGCUCGUCCCUCUCAUUGCGAGUGGUGACGCAAAGCUCGGGUGCUGACGUUACUGCACACUUUUGUGCCCUCGGGUGCGGACCGCUCGAUAGGCCGCUGCCUCCUCAAGGCCGUCCCGCGCCGGAAGCAUUGUCCGACAAGGAAGCGGCGACGGCGGCCAAGCGCAUCGACCGCGGCCUCCCUCGCCACCACCACCUACCACUACCACGCUCGCGCCCGAUUGCGUGCCGCGCAGGCAACGCGCCCUCGCUAGCGGAGGCGUACGCGCUCGGCGGUAGAUGUCGCUCCUGAGCGCGGCGCUGUCGGCGCUGUACGACGCUGCUCGCCUCCGGCCGUGUUGUGCAGUGGCGCCAUCUGUCGCUAGAGUAAUGCGGACCGUUCGAUAUUGAGGCUGCGCGUCUGGGGCGGUGCCCUACGCGUCGCCACACCAUCCUACUACGCAAUUCCCGCCUGGGGGUGCGACUUGAGCGUCGCCUUCAUCGCCUCUGUGGCUGCCAACUAUCUGUCAUAGAGUUACUUCGGCACGUUGGCACUGUGGUCGACAGUUCGGCGGCAACGUGCCUGGUCGGGAAGAUAACUUUGACUUGAAUCACUUUCACUAAAUUCUUAAACGUUAAUAUAUUCCAGGUUAAUGUCAAAUAUAACUGACGCUGGCCCUUUAGGUUGAAGCACGUGAUUAUUUUUUCUUUAUAUUGGCGUGGGUGGUGGUGUAGUUCUGCGACAAGAGCGACAGACAACGAAGCUCACACAUUCACUCGCUCACUCAUUCAGUCACAACAUAGCAUGUUUAAGGAUAACACAAAAGAAGACAACGAAGAAGCACCAGAGGAAUUAAACAGUGGCUUUAAACAUGUGGUGCAAAUGAGUGAUCAAAGCCAUGCGGCCUUUCUCGGUUCAGCACGUCAUGCGAUAAAACAUUCGGUGGUACCUUCUACGAGCAAAAUAAAAGAACGCAGUAUUGAGUGCAGUGGCACACCCAUAACAUUCUACUUGGGCGGGAUGGAAGGCAGAUAAGACUCGGGAAACGUCCUGAUGGGUGCACCGGAUGCAGGUUUACGCUCGACUGGAUGACGUCCACGCAACCUGUGACAUCACCGGCCAUAGAAGCGGGAACCAUGAACAGAGAAAUCCGAAUAAAUUACUCACCAUGAAGAGAGAAAGAGAGAGUAUGAAAGGGAAGGACUUUGACUGCGCAGUAGUCGCUACCCACGUACCAGCGGACGACGCACUUAGUCGUAAGGACAGAAAAUAAAAACUUCUGAAGCCAU